Molecule: ribosomal RNA, 590 nt
Filed under: uncultured bacterium
Lineage: Bacteria
Description: partial 16S ribosomal RNA
Rfam family: Bacterial small subunit ribosomal RNA
Source: RNAcentral
UGGGGAAUUUUGGACAAUGGGCGAAAGCCUGAUCCAGCAAUGCCGCGUGUGUGAAGAAGGCCUUCGGGUUGUAAAGCACUUUUGUCCGGAAAGAAAUCCUUGGCUCUAAUACAGUCGGGGGAUGACGGUACCGGAAGAAUAAGCACCGGCUAACUACGUGCCAGCAGCCGCGGUAAUACGUAGGGUGCAAGCGUUAAUCGGAAUUACUGGGCGUAAAGCGUGCGCAGGCGGUUUGCUAAGACCGAUGUGAAAUCCCCGGGCUCAACCUGGGAACUGCAUUGGUGACUGGCAGGCUAGAGUAUGGCAGAGGGGGGUAGAAUUCCACGUGUAGCAGUGAAAUGCGUAGAGAUGUGGAGGAAUACCGAUGGCGAAGGCAGCCCCCUGGGCCAAAUACUGACGCUCAUGCACGAAAAGCGUGGGGAGCAAAACAGGAUUAGAUACCCUGGUAGUCCACGCCCUAAAACGAUGUCAACUAGUUGUUGGGGAUUCAUUUCCUUAGUAACGUAGCUAACGCGUGAAGUUGACCGCCUGGGGAGUACGGUCGCAAGAUUAAAAACUUAAAGGAAUUGACGGGGUCAUAGCUGUUUCCU